UGAGGAAUAUUGGUCAAUGGGCGGAAGCCUGAACCAGCCAUGCCGCGUGAAGGAAUAAGGCCCUAUGGGUCGUAAACUUCUUUUGACGGGGAGCAAUAAGGUCUACGUGUAGACCGAUGAGAGUACUCGUUGAAUAAGCAUCGGCUAACUCCGUGCCAGCAGCCGCGGUAAUACGGAGGAUGCAAGCGUUAUCCGGAUUUAUUGGGUUUAAAGGGUGCGUAGGCGGGAUGUUAAGUCAGCGGUGAAAGUUUGCGGCUCAACCGUAAAAUUGCCGUUGAAACUGGCGUUCUUGAGUGUAAACGAGGUAGGCGGAAUGUGACGUGUAGCGGUGAAAUGCUUAGAUAUGUCACAGAACCCCGAUUGCGAAGGCAGCUUACCAGCAUACAACUGACGCUGAGGCACGAAAGCGUGGGUAUCAAACAGGAUUAGAUACCCUGGUAGU
This 442-nucleotide ribosomal RNA is filed under the name uncultured Porphyromonadaceae bacterium. Its description in RNAcentral is "bacterial SSU rRNA". It matches the Rfam family "Bacterial small subunit ribosomal RNA", at positions 355 to 794 of the family's 1533-position model. Lineage: Bacteria; Pseudomonadati; Bacteroidota; Bacteroidia; Bacteroidales; Porphyromonadaceae. The record is from RNAcentral.